Long non-coding RNA from Pyrgilauda ruficollis (rufous-necked snowfinch), 845 nucleotides. RefSeq lists it as uncharacterized. The transcript has 3 exons. Lineage: Eukaryota; Metazoa; Chordata; Aves; Passeriformes; Passeridae. The record is from RefSeq and is a predicted model, not a curated record.
CAGGAGGGAGUGCAGGGCAGCACGGCUCCUGCAGGAGCCACCGGGCUGACAUUCCACGUGAAUCUCUCACCUGCACAGCUAUACACAGUAAAAGGCAAAUGACCACUUCCUAAGGAAGAGGACGUCCCCAGACACCAAAACGUGGCCCACCACACAUCCUGGCUCUGCAGCUCAGCUGAACCAACCACUGGGAAUGGAUUCCUUAAAGCACGUUACUUACUGGUCGUGUCUGUGACACGGCCAAGAUAAUGGCACCGCCAGGGAUGUGUCACUGCCAAGGCCAGGCCGAAUUCCCUUCACUGCCAGAGCCAGGAACUCCAGCAGAGCAACUCCCGGUGUGCAGCGAGAGGGGCAGGAGCUGUCCCUCCUCCCGACCCUGCCAGUCUAGGGGACCGCCACGGCUCUAACAGAACAUUUAAAAUACGAGCGACCCCUCAAGCAGCACAGUCUCGGGAUCAUCCCCCACCUGCAGAACACACCUUUACCAUCCCUUCACACAGCUGAAGCUGGCGGCAGGAUUUGGGGUUUGAGCAGUCAGACCCUGCUGGCAGAUGCCAACAGCGCGGAAGCAGAGCGGGAACGCGCACAUUGCCAACAACACGGAGCAAAGGCGCCGUGGCAGCCCCAAACCCCGAGGAGCACCCUGCCCAGGGGACCCCCAGCUCUCUGGAGGCACCCAGGAGGGGCUGGCGGCUCCAGAGGCACCGGCCCCGAGGCCAGCCCUGGCCCUGCUGUGAAAUGGCGCCCGCUCCCAUCUUGGCAUCGCCGGGAGCGCCGCCGGAGCGGCCGCGCUCCCGCUGGAGCCUCUCCAGAACGUCAAGGUUUCAAGGGCAAAGCUUUCUUGG